GUGGGGAAUAUUGCACAAUGGGCGAAAGCCUGAUGCAGCAACGCCGCGUGAAGGAUGAAGGCCUUUGGGUCGUAAACUUCUGUCCUUGGGGAAGAAAAAAAUGACGGUACCCCUGGAGGAAGUCCCGGCUAACUACGUGCCAGCAGCCGCGGUAAUACGUAGGGGGCGAGCGUUAUCCGGAAUUAUUGGGCGUAAAGAGUACGUAGGUGGUUUUUUAAGCGCAGGGUUUAAGGCGAUGGCUCAACUGUCGUUCGCCCUGUGAACUGGAAGACUUGAGUACAGGAGAGGAAAGCGGAAUUCCUAGUGUAGCGGUGAAAUGCAUAGAUAUUAGGAGGAACACCAGUGGCGAAGGCGGCUUUCUGGACUGUAACUGACACUGAGGUACGAAAGCGUGGGGAGCAAACAGGAUUAGAUACCCGAGUAGUCC
RNAcentral lists this ribosomal RNA (427 nucleotides) under uncultured bacterium. RNAcentral describes it as "partial 16S ribosomal RNA". It matches the Rfam family "Bacterial small subunit ribosomal RNA", at positions 354 to 796 of the family's 1533-position model. The record is from RNAcentral.